RNAcentral lists this non-coding RNA (161 nucleotides) under Nicotiana sylvestris (wood tobacco). RNAcentral's name for it is "Bacterial small subunit ribosomal RNA". It matches the Rfam family "Bacterial small subunit ribosomal RNA", at positions 1216 to 1375 of the family's 1533-position model. The record is from Rfam by way of RNAcentral. Lineage: Eukaryota; Viridiplantae; Streptophyta; Magnoliopsida; Solanales; Solanaceae.
GGACGUGGGAAGAAGCAGGCAAAGUUGCAUGUUGUGAUCCCACGAGGGUGAGCUAACCCUAAAAACCCGUCCUCAGUUCGGAUUGCAGGCUGUGACUCGCCUGCAUGAAACCAGAAUCGCUAGUAAUUGCCGGUCAGCCAUAUGGUGGUGAAUUCGUUCCC